GCUGGGUGUGGUGGCGCACGCCUGUAAUCCCAGCACUCGGGAGGCUGAGGCAGGAGGAUCGCUGUGAGUUGAGACAGCCUGGACUACAUAGUGAGUUCCAGGUCAGUCUCAACUACAUAGUGAAACCCUGUCUCAA
RNAcentral lists this non-coding RNA (136 nucleotides) under Fukomys damarensis (Damara mole-rat). The record is from Rfam by way of RNAcentral. Lineage: Eukaryota; Metazoa; Chordata; Mammalia; Rodentia; Bathyergidae.